Molecule: transfer RNA, 76 nt
Filed under: Bacteroidota bacterium
Lineage: Bacteria; Pseudomonadati; Bacteroidota
Description: tRNA-Met(cat)
Rfam family: tRNA
About the family: Transfer RNA (tRNA) molecules are approximately 80 nucleotides in length. Their secondary structure includes four short double-helical elements and three loops (D, anti-codon, and T loops). Further hydrogen bonds mediate the characteristic L-shaped molecular structure. tRNAs have two regions of fundamental functional importance: the anti-codon, which is responsible for specific mRNA codon recognition, and the 3' end, to which the tRNAs corresponding amino acid is attached (by aminoacyl-tRNA synthetases). tRNAs cope with the degeneracy of the genetic code in two manners: having more than one tRNA (with a specific anti-codon) for a particular amino acid; and 'wobble' base-pairing, i.e. permitting non-standard base-pairing at the 3rd anti-codon position.
Source: RNAcentral
UAGCGGGAUAGAGCAGUCUGGUAGCUUGUAAGGCUCAUAAUCUUAAGGUCACAGGUUCAAAUCCUGUUCCCGCCAG